UUGCGCAAGCUGAUUACGGUGAUUAUGGGGGCAAUGGCCGAAAAAUAACCAAAAACAAUGGGAAAACUGCCCAUUCUGCUGCUGAAAACAGCGUACACAGAGUGACAGAAGUGGUUCGAGGAAGAAAAGUGAGCUAAAAGGGAAGAAUUCAACUGAGCACGACCUAAAACGAGCGUAAACACCGGAGCUAACGAGAGCUAACGGGAGCUAACGGGAGCUAAUGGGAGCUAAUCGGAGCUAACGGGAGCUAACGGGAGCUAAUCGGAGCUAACGGGAGCUAAUGGGAGCUAGUGGGAGCUAAUGGGAGCUGAAAGGACCCCAAGCUAACGUUCCCAGGUGAGCUGGUGUCACCCUGCAGAUCUGAAUGAGUCACGAUGAAUGAGGAAAACACGAGAGAGCCGGAGGGAGCUAAAAGACGCAAAAAGACUCCAGAGACACAAGAAACGCACACAGCGGAGGAGCAAAAACACACACAGCCCGUUUCAGAUUGUCUCCGUCAUGUCCGUCCAACCGUCGUGUCCGUCCAACCGUCGUGUCCAUCCAACGCCAGCUUCCAGGGGCGGACCAGGAAUGCGGGACAGGACCGCUGAAUUACGCAA
This is a long non-coding RNA of Plectropomus leopardus (leopard coralgrouper), 599 nucleotides long. RefSeq lists it as uncharacterized. The record is from RefSeq and is a predicted model, not a curated record. Lineage: Eukaryota; Metazoa; Chordata; Actinopteri; Perciformes; Serranidae.